UACGUAGGGUGCAAGCAUUAUCCGGAGUGACUGGGCGUAAAGAGUUGCGUAGGCGGUUUAUCAAGCGAAUAGUGAAAUCUGGUGGCUCAACCAUUCAGGCUAUUGUUCGAACUGAUAAACUCGAGAGUAGUAGAGGUAACUGGAAUUUCUAGUGUAGGAGUGAAAUCCGUAGAUAUUAGAAGGAACACCAAUGGCGUAGGCAGGUUACUGGGCUAUUUCUGACGCUAAGGCACGAAAGCGUGGGGAGCGAACCGG
RNAcentral lists this ribosomal RNA (255 nucleotides) under uncultured prokaryote. Its description in RNAcentral is "partial 16S ribosomal RNA". It matches the Rfam family "Bacterial small subunit ribosomal RNA", at positions 524 to 776 of the family's 1533-position model. The record is from RNAcentral.